AGACCCGAAACCCGGUGAUCUAGCCAUGGGCAGGUUGAAGGUUGGGUAACACUAACUGGAGGACCGAACCGACUAAUGUUGAAAAAUUAGCGGAUGACCUGUGGCUGGGGGUGAAAGGCCAAUCAAACCGGGAGAUAGCUGGUUCUCCCCGAAAGCUAUUUAGGUAGCGCCUCGUGAAUUCAUCUCCGGGGGUAGAGCACUGUUUCGGCUAGGGGGCCAUCCCGGCUUACCAACCCGAUGCAAACUGCGAAUACCGGAGAAUGUUAUCACGGGAGACACACGGCGGGUGCUAACGUCCGUCGUGAAGAGGGAAACAACCCAGACCGCCAGCUAAGGUCCCAAAGUCAUGGUUAAGUGGGAAACGAUGUGGGAAGGCCCAGACAGCCAGGAUGUUGGCUUAGAAGCAGCCAUCAUUUAAAGAAAGCGUAAUAGCUCACUGGUCGAGUCGGCCUGCGCGGAAGAUGUAACGGGGCUAAACCAUGCACCGAAGCUGCGGCAGCGACACUCAGGUGUUGUUGGGUAGGGGAGCGUUCUGUAAGCCUGUGAAGGUGGCCUGUGAGGGUUGCUGGAGGUAUCAGAAGUGCGAAUGCUGACAUAAGUAACGAUAAAGCGGGUGAAAAGCCCGCUCGCCGGAAGACCAAGGGUUCCUGUCCAACGUUAAUCGGGGCAGGGUGAGUCGACCCCUAAGGCGAGGCCGAAAGGCGUAGUCGAUGGGAAACGGGUUAAUAUUCCCGUACUUGGUGUUACUGCGAAGGGGGGACGGAGAAGGCUAUGUUG
Molecule: ribosomal RNA, 777 nt
Filed under: Salmonella enterica subsp. enterica serovar Virchow
Lineage: Bacteria; Pseudomonadati; Pseudomonadota; Gammaproteobacteria; Enterobacterales; Enterobacteriaceae
Description: partial 23S ribosomal RNA
Rfam family: Bacterial large subunit ribosomal RNA
Source: RNAcentral